UACGAAGGGGGCUAGCGUUGCUCGGAAUCACUGGGCGUAAAGCGCACGUAGGCGGCUUCUUAAGUCGGUGGUGAAAUCCUGGAGCUCAACUCCAGAACUGCCUUCGAUACUGAGAGGCUCGAGUCCGGGAGAGGUGAGUGGAACUGCGAGUGUAGAGGUGAAAUUCGUAGAUAUUCGCAAGAACACCAGUGGCGAAGGCGGCUCACUGGCCCGGUACUGACGCUGAUGUGCGAAAGCGUGGGGAGCAAACAGG
RNAcentral lists this ribosomal RNA (253 nucleotides) under uncultured bacterium. RNAcentral's name for it is "partial 16S ribosomal RNA". It matches the Rfam family "Bacterial small subunit ribosomal RNA", at positions 524 to 776 of the family's 1533-position model. The record is from RNAcentral.